CCUACGGGAGGCUGCAGUGGGGGAUAUUGGACAAUGGGGGGAACCCUGAUCCAGCCAUGCCGCGUGUGUGAAGAAGGCCCUCGGGUUGUAAAGCACUUUCAGUGAGGAAGAACGCCUGGUGGUUAAUACCCAUCAGGAAAGACAUCACUCACAGAAGAAGCACCGGCUAACUCCGUGCCAGCAGCCGCGGUAAUACGGAGGGUGCGAGCGUUAAUCGGAAUUACUGGGCGUAAAGCGCGCGUAGGUGGCUUGAUAAGCCGGUUGUGAAAGCCCCGGGCUCAACCUGGGAACGGCAUCCGGAACUGUCAAGCUAGAGUGCAGGAGAGGAAGGUAGAAUUCCCGGUGUAGCGGUGAAAUGCGUAGAGAUCGGGAGGAAUACCAGUGGCGAAGGCGGCCUUCUGGACUGACACUGACACUGAGGUGCGAAAGCGUGGGUAGCAAACAGGAUUAGAUACCCUGGUAGUC
This 465-nucleotide ribosomal RNA is filed under the name Vreelandella stevensii. RNAcentral's name for it is "partial 16S ribosomal RNA". It matches the Rfam family "Bacterial small subunit ribosomal RNA", at positions 338 to 795 of the family's 1533-position model. The record is from RNAcentral. Lineage: Bacteria; Pseudomonadati; Pseudomonadota; Gammaproteobacteria; Oceanospirillales; Halomonadaceae.